This 465-nucleotide ribosomal RNA is filed under the name uncultured bacterium. RNAcentral's name for it is "partial 16S ribosomal RNA". It matches the Rfam family "Bacterial small subunit ribosomal RNA", at positions 28 to 507 of the family's 1533-position model. The record is from RNAcentral.
GACGAACGCUGGCGGCGUGCUUAACACAUGCCAGUCGAACGGAAAGGCCCCUUCGGGGGUACUCGAGUGGCGAACAGGUGCGUAACACGUGAGUAACCUGCCCUUGACUUCGGGAUAACUUCAGGAAACUGGGGCUAAUACCGGAUAGGAAUCCUUGCUGCAUGGUGGGGGUUGGAAAGCUUCGGCGGUUUUGGAUGGACUCGCGGCUUAUCAGCUUGUUGGUGGGGUAGUGGCUUACCAAGGCUUUGACGGGUAGCCGGCCUGAGAGGGCGACCGGCCACAUUGGGACUGAGAUACGGCCCAGACUCCUACGGGAGGCAGCAGUGGGGAAUAUUGCACAAGGGGCGGAAGCCUGAUGCAGCAACGCCGCGUGCGGGAUGACGGCCUUCGGGUUGUAAACCGCGUUCAGCAGGGGCGAAGCUUGUGGUGACGGUACCUGCAGAAGAAGCACCGGCUAACUACGUG